This 1837-nucleotide long non-coding RNA is filed under the name Olea europaea (common olive). RNAcentral describes it as "long non-coding RNA (OEUR_LNC014931)". Lineage: Eukaryota; Viridiplantae; Streptophyta; Magnoliopsida; Lamiales; Oleaceae. The record is from RNAcentral.
UUUAUUGUCAGGAUAAAAUCGAAUUAACAAAAUACUAAACGCAGCCCUCAUGGAAGAGAUAAGUGAUGUGAACAAUGAAUAACUAUUGCUAGGAAAGGUCAAUAGGAGAGAUACAGAGACACCAAGAUGCUAUGGAGUUAUGACCUAUAAGGACACGUGUUCAUCUGAAUGAGGAAAGAAGAUGCAUGUUGGAGGUACGCGAUUGUAUGGAAUAAGAAUUCAAUGUAACAUUUUGGUUUUAAGCCCCAAAAUAUACUGAUAAUACAAUUGAUCAUAUGAAAAGUAUGCAAAUCCAAGUAUAAAAAUAGCUGCUUUAAGCAGACAAGGCAAAAUCUUGUUUCUAUGGAAGUGGAGAUCUACUGAUAACUGGCUUAAUUGUGCAAUCCUUCCUUAAGAAUCCUAUUGCCUCUCUCUUCCUCUCUCCGUCCUUCUCUCUUUGUGAAUGUGUGUGUAUGUCUAUGGUGAAUAUGCGUGUAUGUCUAUGGUGAAUAUGCAGUGUCUUGUGUACAUUGGAGUUCCUAAUGUUUUACUUGAUUACUAAGUGAUGCACAAUUUUCUGAGCAAGUUGUCUUCUAAGAGUUCGCUUCUAUCUGUGAAAUCUAGUAACUAACAUCAAUGUAUUAACUCUCAAGUGGAGUUAAAAAAUCAUUAAACUGCAAUAUCCAGUUUUACUGCUUUUGUUGAUGCAUUCUUUCAAAAAUGAAUGUCAAUGCAUCUUUUGUGGGGGAAAAAUUUAGUAGUAAUUGCCAUGAGAAUAUGGUGUUGCUUAAUGGGAAUUGUGACUAGGAGACAAAAUCAAAUAUAAACAGAACAAAGGAACAUUUGAGGCUUCAUAGAUUUGUUGCUUCGAGUAGAAAGAAAUGCUGAGGACUCCUUGCUUUGUCCAAGUUAAUGCAGACAUGAAAAUUCUGAGAUUUUAUCAUUUUGUUUUAUGAUUUUUGGAGAAGCGUAUGUUUGAUUAACUGACUGACUGACUGUGGAUGCCAUGUCCUGCUUGUAUCUGUAAUGAAUUAAUAGCAUGUUUGGUUGCAGGUAUUGUAUAGCACUUGACGGUAUUAAGAAAGCUGAAAUGUAAAAAAAGUUGAAGUUUCGUUUAUCACAUUGUCCAAUCAUAUCCAAGACUGCACAGCUAACAUGCCUUAAAAGUAUAAAUUUAACACCUUUCUAUUGCACCUAUUUUGUUGUACUAUUCUAGCACAACAAAGAAAAAUUGUAAAAUUUCAGAAGUUUCAUAAGGGCAAAUGAGGUAGCAAUUAAUAAUAAUUGGAAUUCCAUUUCUUGGUAUCUUUUAUAUUCUAAUUAAAACAUCAAUCUCACUUUUCUUUAUACCGUUGCUGGAUGAAUUAAGAUGAUGGUAUAUCCCCCGUCUGCAGGUAAUUAUAGAAGCUUCAUUAAACUAGUGUGGCAGCUUUGUUAUGUAACUAUGGCACGACCACAUCCACUACUGGUUUUCCAGUUUUCGGGGACAAGAUGACAGAGCAGAAAUCAUUUUUGCUUGUUUCUGCUUCAUUCUCACGACCUUCCAGUCAUAUUAAUCUAUGAAAGCAUAGUCAGAGAUUGCUUUUACUAUUUCAUUUGUAUUUUUUUAUAAUUAUUCCUUUGUUUUUGGUCGAGGAAUUUCUCAUUAACAGUGGUUUGUCUGCCAGUUUAUUGAUUUAUAUUUGGUUUUGGAUGUCAGUUUUAUCUCUAUUGCUAUCAAAGGUCUCAUCAGUUAUUUUUUGACAAACAAACUUGUAUUAAAUCGACUGAUAUUUAGAUGUUUUACAUUGUAACUGAGCUUAUUUCCGUUUUGCAACAACUUGAGAAUUACUUAUUUCUUUUAAGCUGCUUAUCUAUG